CUUUCCAUGUUGUCAACACAAUCCCCAGCUGUAUGGACCUGCUUUCCAUGUUGUCAACACAAUCCCCUGCUGUAUGGACCUGCUUUCCAUGUUGUCAACACAAUCCCCAGCUGUGUGGACCUGCUUUCCAUGUUGUCAACACAAUCCCCAGCUGUGUGGACCUGCUUUCCAUGUUGUCCCCAAAACAUCGUUGGUACUUUUUCUGUCAUUUUGUUUGGUUGCUUUUAGCGUUGUUGCUUUCUGUCUGUCUGUGUUACUGGUUAUAUGUUGCUCUGUCUGUCUGUGUUACUGGUUAUAUGUUGCUCUGUCUGUCUGUGUGUUACUGGUUAUAUGUUGCUCUGUCUGUCUGUGUUACUGGUUAUAUGUUGCUCUGUCUGUCUGUGUUACUGGUUAUAUGUUGCUCUGUCUGUCUGUGUUACUGGUUAUAUGUUGCUCUGUCUGUCUGUGUUACUGGUUAUAUGUUGCUCUGUCUAUCUGUGUGUUACUGGUUAUAUGUUGCUCUGUCUGUCUGUGUUACUGGUUAUAUGUUGCUCUGUCUGUCUGUGUUACUGGUUAUAUGUUGCUCUGUCUGUCUGUGUUACUGGUUAUAUGUUGCUCUGUCUGUGUGUUACUGGUUAUGUUGCUCUGUCUGUCUGUGUUACUGGUUAUAUGUUGCUCUGUCUGUCUGUGUGUUACUGGUUAUGUUGCUCUGUCUGUCUGUGUUACUGGUUAUAUGUUGCUCUGUCUGUCUGUGUGUUACUGGUUAUGUUGCUCUGUCUGUCUGUGUGUUACUGGUUAUAUGUUGCUCUGUCUGUCUGUGUGUUACUGGUUAUAUGUUGCUCUGUCUGUCUGUGUUACUGGUUAUGUUGCUCUGUCUGUCUGUGUUACUGGUUAUAUGUUGCUCUGUCUGUCUGUGUUACUGGUUAUAUGUUGCUCUGUCUGUCUGUGUGAUACUGGUUAUAUGUUGCAUUGUCUGUCUGUGUUACUGGUGAUAUGUUGCUCUGUCUGUCUGUGUUACUGGUUAUAUGUUGCUCUGUCUGUCUGUGUUACUGGUUAUAUGUUGCUCUGUCUGUCUGUGUGUUACUGGUUAUAUGUUGCUCUGUCUGUCUGUGUUACUGGUUAUAAGUUGCUCUGUCUGUCUGUGUGAUACUGGUUAUAUGUUUCUCUGUCUGUCUGUGUUACUGGUUAUAUGUUGCUCUGUCUGUCUGUCUGUGUACUGGUUAUAUGUUGCUCUGUCUGUCUGUGUUACUGGUUAUAUGUUGCUCUGUCUGUCUGUGUGUUACUGGUUAUAUGUUGCUCUGUCUAUCUGUGUGUUACUGGUUAUAUGUUGCUCUGUCUGUCUGUGUUACUGGUUAUAUGUUGCUCUGUCUGUCUGUCCUUUACAGAAAUGUUGAUAAAUGUGCAACUGAUACCUUUAAAAAAAUAAACUUAAUUAAAGUAAUAAUAAUAAUGUCUGGAUAAUGUAUAGAAUAUCAAGGUUCAGAGUUUAUAACUGGAUAAUGCACAUGUUGAGGUCCAGUGUGAGGAUAACAUAGCAUCAUAUAGAGAACCAGUGUGUGUAUGACUGGAUAAUGUAGCUUCAUAUAGAGGACCCGUGUGUGUAUGACUGGAUAAUGUAGCUUCAUAUAGAGGACCAGUGUGUGUAUGACUGGAUAACAUAGCAUCAUAUAGAGGACCAGUGUGUGUAUGACUGGAUAAUGUAGCUUCAUAUAGAGGACCAGUGUGUGCAUGACUGGAUAAUGUAGCUUCAUAUAGAGGACCAGUGUGUGUAUGACUGG
RNAcentral lists this long non-coding RNA (1757 nucleotides) under Salmo salar (Atlantic salmon). RNAcentral describes it as "lncRNA (ENSSSAG00000082520.1)". Lineage: Eukaryota; Metazoa; Chordata; Actinopteri; Salmoniformes; Salmonidae. The record is from RNAcentral.